Molecule: ribosomal RNA, 578 nt
Filed under: uncultured bacterium
Lineage: Bacteria
Description: bacterial SSU rRNA
Rfam family: Bacterial small subunit ribosomal RNA
Source: RNAcentral
GAAAGUGGAGCUAAUACUCCAUAUUGUCGGUCAUUCGUUUGGCCGAUGAAAGCUCCGGCGCUUUGGGAGGGGCUUGCGGCCCAUCAGCUAGUUGGUAGGGUAAUGGCCUACCAAGGCAAAGACGGGUAGCUGGUCUGAGAGGACGAUCAGCCACAAUGGCACUGAAACACGGGCCAUACUCCUACGGGAGGCAGCAGUGAGGAAUAUUGGACAAUCAACGAAAGUUGGAUCCAGCAACGCCGCGUGGACGAUGAAGGCCUUCGGGUUGUAAAGUCCUUUUAAGAGGGAAGAGGAAGGACGGUACCUCUUGAAUAAGUCUCGGCUAACUACGUGCCAGCAGCCGCGGUAACACGUANGAGGCAAGCGUUAUCCGGAUUCAUUGGGCGUAAAGGGCGUGCAGGCGGUUGAGUAAGUCGGGUGUGAAAGCCCCGGACUUAAUCCGGGGAGGUCAUUCCAUACUGCUUGACUUGAGAGCGGGAGAGGGAAGCGGAAUUCUCGGUGUAGUGGUGAUAUGCNUAGAUAUCGAGAGGAACACCAGUGGCGAAGGCGGCUUCCUGGCCCGUUUCUGACGCUAAUGC